This 588-nucleotide ribosomal RNA is filed under the name uncultured bacterium. RNAcentral's name for it is "partial 16S ribosomal RNA". It matches the Rfam family "Bacterial small subunit ribosomal RNA", at positions 355 to 1376 of the family's 1533-position model. The record is from RNAcentral.
UGGGGAAUAUUGGACAAUGGGCGAAAGCCUGAUCCAGCCAUGCCGCGUGUGUGAAGAAGGUCUUCGGAUUGUAAAGCACUUUAAGUUGGGAGGAAGGGCAUUUACCUAAUACGUAAGUGUUUUGACGUUACCGACAGAAUAAGCACCGGCUAACUCUGUGCCAGCAGCCGCGGUAAUACAGAGGGUGCAAGCGUUAAUCGGAAUUACUGGGCGUAAAGCGCGCGUAGGUGGUUUGUUAAGUUGGAUGUGAAAUCCCCGGGCUCAACCUGGGAACUGCAUUCAAAACUGACAAGCUAGAGUAUGGUAGAGGGUGGUGGAAUUUCCUGUGUAGCGGUGAAAUGCGUAGAUAUAGGAAGGAACACCAGUGGCGAAGGCGACCACCUGGACUGAUACUGACACUGAGGUGCGAAAGCGUGGGGAGCAAAACAGGAUUAGAUACCCUGGUAGUCCACGCCGUAAACGUGUCAACUAGCCGUUGGGAGCCUUGAGCUCUUAGUGGCGCAGCUAACGCAUUAAGUUGACCGCCUGGGGAGUACGGCCGCAAGGUUAAAAACUCAAAGGAAUUGACGGGGUCAUAGCUGUUUCCUG